UACGGGGGGAGCAAGCGUUGUUCGGAUUUACUGGGCGUAAAGGGCGCGUAGGCGGCAAUUCAAGUCAGUUGUGAAAUCUCCGAGCUUAACUCGGAACGGUCAACUGAUACUGCUUUGCUAGAGUACAGAAGGGGCAAUCGGAAUUCUUGGUGUAGCGGUGAAAUGCGUAGAUAUCAAGAGGAACACCUGAGGUGAAGACGGGUUGCUGGGCUGAUACUGACGCUGAGGCGCGAAAGCUAGGGUAGCAAACGGG
RNAcentral lists this ribosomal RNA (253 nucleotides) under uncultured bacterium. RNAcentral describes it as "partial 16S ribosomal RNA". It matches the Rfam family "Bacterial small subunit ribosomal RNA", at positions 524 to 776 of the family's 1533-position model. The record is from RNAcentral.